Pseudoliparis swirei is the source of this 1183-nucleotide long non-coding RNA. RefSeq lists it as uncharacterized. NCBI's taxonomy places the organism in Eukaryota, Metazoa, Chordata, Actinopteri, Perciformes, Liparidae. The record is from RefSeq and is a predicted model, not a curated record. The transcript is spliced from 3 exons.
UGUUGUGGUAAUGUUAUUUCAACCUGCUAGCUAGCAGAUAGAUGAUGCUAAUCUUAGCUGUGGUAAUGUCAUUUCUACCUGCUAGCGAGCUAAAUCUGGUUAAAACAUUAGGUAACAAAGUAAGAUUAAUUACUGCAGAUUAAUCACUGUAUUUGAGUGAUUGUUAAUGGUUAGUGGUUAUCUUUCAAAUGAUGCCUGUGAGGCACUUGACGUUGAGACUGGUUGACUUCCAGGCUGCUUUGGAAUAAGGAUACCUCUGAGGCAGCCACCAGUUUUUGGAUAACUCUGAGGCAUCAUAGGUAGUGUUGACUGCCAGGCUGCCUAGUCGUUGGUAUACAGGUUAACUCACAGGCAUCCAGUUGGUUUUAGAUACCUGUAAGGCAUCUAGACGGACAUUAAGAGGGGCUGACUCCCAGGCUGCUUCCUAACACUGGUUAGCUCUCAGGCAGCCAAUUAGCUUUGGAUGCCUGUGAGGCACUUGAUGUUGAGACACUUGAUGUUGAGACUGGUUGACUGUAGACUGAUAUCCCUUAGUUAAAUUGUCCUCAUGCCUCCUCAUACAGAUAGGCCUAUUGAAUAAAUCUGCCAGAUUAUUUUUAACAUUGCAUAUGCCUAACAUUAUGUGAUAAUACUAAUCACACUCAUAUUGCCUUUCUCUUUCAGUUCAUGAAGAAAUGGCGCCCAGGAAGGUAGGAUGGAAGCGGAAGGCCCUGCAGGUGUCAAAAGGUGGACCAUCUGCAAAGAUCGCAAUUUUCCACCAGUCACCACUGGUUGGUGGAGCCUCCGCCCCAGCCCCAACCCCAUCUAGCCCUGCUGCUCCAUCCACCCUUCCUGCCCCAUCCGGCCCUGCUGCUCCACCAAGCCCUACUGCCCCAUCCCAGCCGGCAUUUCAGAAUGUCCACAGCCUUUUGAGGACAUGCUCAGGGCAUCGGAGCAAAAGGUGAAGUGCACAGCUAGGCAUAGGUUUCUUCAAGACAGGUUUAUAUUUUUAGUGGUAGUGUGGUAGUAACAGUGCUGAGACCAUUUGUGAUGGGAUCUGGGAAAACCAGUCACAUGGUGAAAUUUGACCUUUUGGAAGCUGACUUCAAGCUUGUUUCAAAUAUGUUUUCAUUAUUUGUCUGUUUCAAAUGUUAUGAUUGCCCAAAGUCAGCUGAUCAGUUAGAUUUCAUGGAAUAGAAUUUUG